UUUACUGAUGAGUUUCACCUGAGUCUCCAGCAGCUUCCUGUCUCCUGUCUCUCUGUCUCCUCGUGUCUCUGUCUGUUGGACCAAAUAUCCUGAUGUGAGGAGAACCUCAGACUGCACAUGAAGAAGAGCAACAGGACGGACCAACCAAAGUGAAGCCAGGGUGUCUGCAUCGCCACCUGCUGGCUGGCUGCAGUAUAGCUACAUGUUAGUGGAUGGGACAUGGAACAAAGACCUCCACAGAGAGGACGAGGAGCUGAAGCACAUCAGCUUCCACGUGUUUGACGUCCAUCAGAAGAAGUGCAGGAGCGUGUGCAUAUGGACCGUAGGUGGGGACAGAGAGGGAGUGUACACCAGGGCCAGACUGGUCUUAGUGGGAG
Paralichthys olivaceus (Japanese flounder) is the source of this 377-nucleotide non-coding RNA. NCBI's taxonomy places the organism in Eukaryota, Metazoa, Chordata, Actinopteri, Pleuronectiformes, Paralichthyidae. The record is from RefSeq and is a predicted model, not a curated record.